This 11949-nucleotide long non-coding RNA is filed under the name Gallus gallus (chicken). Lineage: Eukaryota; Metazoa; Chordata; Aves; Galliformes; Phasianidae. The record is from RNAcentral.
AAAAAGACAGAUAGUGUAUUUUCUGGGAUCUUUGUCCAAAGCGUUAACAAUCAGAAAGGACAGAGAGCAGGAUGUAAGAGUCAAACAGGGAAAGGAGGGAAACUAAAAGUGGAACAACAGCUGUUAGAUACUAAGCAGAUUUUAAAGCAUAGUGAAUACUUCGACCAGCCUGAGACUGCAGAGAUCAGUGACAGAAGGACAAUGAGCAGUCAGAACUGGAAUCAUGAAGAAUUUCUGAGGUCCAAACUAAGCCCGUACCAUAUGAACCUGUGGGCACAGGAAAUGAACUACUAACCCUACAGAUCAAAGGUUUUUCUGGCUCUGAUAUGAAACAAUUUAUUCCUUGACGGCAAAGAGUAUAUUCAAGAGUCAUUUGUAUUUAGAAGACUUAAUACAAAAAUGACACAACAAAGUUUUGUGUUCAUACCAGUUCUGAUAGAGGAAAACGAUUAAAUAAAUUCCUAGUACAAGCGAUUUUCAUUCAGUUGAGGCUCCGGAGAAGUAGGAGCUGCUUGCCAUGUAUGAACUAAUCUAUAACUAGAAGCCUGAGGAGAAUCAACUCAAUGCCUCCAGUGACUGCUCUUUCUGCGUCAGGUGGCAACACUGUCACUAAAUUAGAAGGAAGAAGCUCCAAGAAAUCCAGCUGAGUAUGUGUGGAGAAUAUCUGUGCACUUUUGGCACCACCACCACCAAUAAUUUUUCUUUUCUUUUCCCAUUGUCUAGAUUCUUUCAGCUCAUUACAGCCACAUAAGAUGUAGAGCCAGUCAUAUAUGAAACUCAUGGUCUCAUGGUGUUAAUCUGUCCCACAGACAGAUGUCCAAAAAAGAAAGAAGAGGGCACAAAAAUGAAUAAAUAAAUAAAUAGAUAGAUAAAUAGAUAGAUUCUGGAGGAUGGUAUGAACAAGUUGUAGAUUUUAACUUGUAGGUAUUUAUAUUUCUUAAUGACUCAAACUUCAAUUUCUUUCAACUUAAAAGUUUUAAAAUCUAAUAACAUAUAUAUACACAUACAUAUAUUUGUCUGACAAUGCUGGAGAAUUUUAAAUUUGAAAGUAUUAUUACGAUAGUCUGAAAAACAGCCAUACUUUAGAGGGUUUUUUUGGACUGUUUCAGUUAAGAAAAGUAGUCAAUGAUGGGGUCAUGCAUUUAUUUGACACAGCCAUUUUCAUUCACUAAAAAUAAAGAAAGUGCUGUUUCUCUGAGAACAGGAAUAAACAAAUUACAGGAGACAAGUUCUGUGCUCAAAUCCUCAAGGGCUGUUCAGACAGGAGCUGACCUAAGCCUUCCCUUUGGGUUCCUUUCAGGACAACAUGUAUUUUGCUUUCCACUAGCUGUGUUCAUACUGUCUAGUUGACAUGAAAAGCUUCAUGAGAUUUUCUUCAAAAGUACAUAUUAGUAUAAUCAUAAGUGAGGUAUAAAGACUAAAUAAGCAGAAACCUUAUUCUAUACUUCUAUUCUUUCUGAAUGUUGUUCCUUGAAUACUGAACAGAACUGCUAUUUUUAGGCUUGUAAACACUCAGCUGCAUGUUAUCUUAUAGCUUCCUGAUCACUUACUGACAGCUUUUGAUUUACUUUACGGCUUUUUUUUUUUUAUUUUAUUUUAUGGAGUUUUAUUUGUGCAAAAAUAACAAUAAUAAUAAAAAUAAAAAUAAAAAAUAAAAAAGAACAUAAGUAAAGACAUAAAACACAAAUGAGCAAGCAGCACUCUUCAGUUUGCACAUACUGUAACCUAAAAUGUAGUGACAACAAUAAGCAAUACAUUGUCAAAGUAGGGUUUUUUUUUAUUUUUAAACCCAUUCCAGGGUGCACAAAUGGGACAUCCUAUUUAGUAAUGGUGCAUUAGCUCUCUUCAUAACAAUAAACACAAAGUGGGGCUCAGGACACAAAAUCUUUUAAUCACAUUGGAUAGCUCUAGAAGAUAAGGAAUAAAUGAACAAAACAAAAAAUACAACAAACACAUCCAUUCUGAUAACUUUUUUUUUUUUUUUUUUUUUUUUGAGCUAUUCUGUAAACAAUGAUCUGUGCCAGAUGUGCGACAGCAACAGUAUCUCCCUCCAUUCACUUAUGCGGGGAAAUAAGCUGUCAUUUGUCUCCUUUGUGGCUGAAUACUGAAGAUGCCUUACUCUUUAUUCAGCAAAUUACAUUCUUUAACAUCCCAGUGCGAAGUCCUACUGAAAAAAAAAAAAAAAAAAAAAAAAGGGCAUAAAGAAGAAAGUUAUUAUCACAAAAUGAAAUUGGAAACAAUGCCUACUCUUCAUGAAAUGUUCUGUCAUAAUGAAUUCUCUUUGUCAGAAAAAUCAGGAAUUCGCACAAUGGGCAGAUAUCAGUACAUGAGAACUCUCUAUUGGUGUAUUAAUCAUUAUUUAGACUGCUUCUAAUAUGAUAUAUGAAUGCAAUCAAUCGCAUACAUUUUGUCUCAAUAUAUUCUUCAGCCUCGUGAGUUGAAGGUAAAGCCUUUUAUGCAAACCAUUAAUGUAAAUGGUUUUCAUUACCAUUUUAUUUCAUCAAUUUGGAACACUUAUCCCUUGUACCAGUGUAAGCCUUGGGCCACAAAAGUGAUUUCAUAUAUAUAUAUUUUUAAUUACUUCUUCCAUUCACAGCAUUAGGCGAUACUUCAGAAAAAAAUACAUAUAUUUUAAGAAACACAAGCUUUUCCCAUCCAUUGCACUGAAAAAAAUUACAAGGACACCUUACUAAAUGUAUGUGCUACCAAAGUACUCAAUGGAAGUACAUUCAUGUUAAAAAAAUUGACUUAUUAUGUGCACAGGAUAGCUCAACACUAACUGCAGCAUUUAUUGUAAUUUCAGAGGCACAUAAGUUUUAAGUGAAAUUUGAAAUGAAAACCUUGUGAAAUUACUCAUUUUUCUAAUUCUUUCAGCACCAACUUUAUGAUGUCUAGUACAAAUACCAUAUUAGACCAUAGCAGUAAGUGUGCAAGCUAGCAAGGAAAAAUGUAUCCUACAUUAGUCCUACUGGGACAUGACUAGUCAACUAUUUCUCUACUUUCUUUUUUAUCUUCUGAAUUGAUAUUAAUAUACAACAAUAUUUAUUAAUUUAGAAUAUAUAUAUACAAUUCAUAUGUAUAUUUAUAUUUUAUAGAAAUGAUUACAAUUCACCCUAUAUUUUAUUUGUCAGAACAAAGAGGCUAGCUAGCUAAGAAAAACAAAUCAGAAAUAAAAAUAAAAGGAAAACUACAGUGAAACACUGAGACAAGAACAAACCUGCUACCACAAAUUAAAAUUAUAAAAAGUGAGUAAUGAAGGUUUCCCAUCUGAAACCUAAUCAAUUUGCCUUCAGACAAUCAAGGGGUGCCUGUAGCUUUGGGAAUUCAUAUUCAGAAUAAAAAUACAGGCAUUUGUAAAGUGUACAAGUUAAAGCUGUCUUUGCCUGAAUGAAAUAAUGGAGAUAGUAUUUUAAACAAAGUUACCAUAAAAAUUCGUAUCAUGAGCAAAAUUACCAACUUCAACUAUUUUCAUAGCUUGUGAAGGGAUAUUUUUUUCUAUAGUAUUUAUUAUUCUGGCAUAAUAUCAAGAUACUGUGAAGGAUGGGAUUAAUCUGAGUUUAUCAGAAGAGGCCUCUUUAAUAGCCAAACAGGCACUGAUGUGUCCAGUAAUCUAUCUAGAACUAGGGCAGCAGGACAAUAACUACUUGUUCAACAGCCAUAUUUAUCUUCAAAGAUUGUAGCAAUUAACUUAAAUGUAAAUGUCCAAAUUCUUCACGCUUCAAGUUAACAGACAGGAAUUUCUCUUGGAAGGAUUCAGUUUUCAUAAGUGACCAGGGACAGUUUUGAACACAUAAGUGUGCAUAUUUGUAAAUCCUUCAUUUAUUCCUACCCAUUGUUCUGCAGUCAAUUCUGCUUUCUCACAUAAAUUGCAUAUAUCAAAAUGUCUCAUAAAUGAUAUUCAGAUAGUAUCAUCUGUGAGAUUCUGGAAGAAUCAUUAAAAUUGGAGUCUCCAGGGUCUCAUUUAGACCUUAAUAUAAUGAAAAGUAAUCUUCAUUUCUAGAUCCUCAUGCUCUGAUAAUUCCAGAAAUAUGCUGUGUCCAAGUUGUUUGUUUCUUGAACAGUAGUAUUCCAGAAUGUUUCAUAAUAUCAUCUUGAAUAAUUAUGCAAAUAUUUUACCAUCUGUAUCAGUAAUACUUCAACUAACAUUAUCUUGAAACUCUUUCAUCAUUACUGUUUAGGGUUGUUGGCAUAUAGUCAUUCAAAAAUGAACUAAAAUGAACUUUUCUCUUACUCUGAAAUUUAAAAUCAUUUCUUUCCAGUUUUCCAUUCUGCAUUUCCAAAGUAAAUUAACUAAUAAAUGCCAGACUUGGUUACAUCUUGUUCUUGUUGGAAUAAAAAUAAAUAAAUAAAAUAAACUCAAUGUACUCAAAUAAUGCAGAACUAAUUGUGUUAUAUAUGACAUUAUUUUAUAUAAUUAUAUUCUCUUCUUAGAUUACACCGUUCUCCAAACACUAGCUUAGCACUGCUUUUAUUUCUUUGAGAGAUAUACUUUUCAUUUUUGUCUGUUGUAAAGUAACUUUACUAAAAUAAGUUUGAUACUGUUGCACCCAGUAUUUAUAAAUAAGUAGUCACCAAAACCUGUAGCUGUAGAUACACACAUUUCUUCUAAUGAAUCCUUAUUCUUGUAGACUAUUCAAUAAUCUUUGAACAACGGCAUGUUUGUGACUAAGCUAUACUAAUAAAACAUCAAAUAUCUUAUCAAGAUAACUGAGCUUGUUGAGGAAAACCACAAGCCAGUAGCAGAAGACCUAAAAAAUAGAAGCAAUAGAUUAUAAAAGAAGCCCUGAAAAUAAAAACAUGGCAUUUGCACCAGUCACUAAAGAGAUGACAUCUCAUUAAUUAGAUAAAACCAGUUCUAAAGGUAAUCAGUGAAGAAAGAGCAAGUGGACGCAGGUAACAAAUAUGCAAGAAUAUUCAAGCUCAUUCCAGGUAGGGGAGAAAUCAUUGAUACAGUAACCACCAUUUUAUUUACUCUAGUGGAAAAGAUUGGUGAUUUUCCAGGAUAUUUUCCUUUUUUCUUGAAAACUAGAAAAAUCAGGUGUAGGAUGCAGAGGAGGAAAAGAAGAAUGUAAAUACCAUGGGAGAGAGGAGAUCAGUACAAAAAAAAAAAAAAAAAAAAAAAAAAAAAAGUGUUUCAGUUUUAACUAUUAUCGUCAUUGUCAAUUAACGAUAACAAGUGGAUGAUUUCAAAUAGUUUUAUCAGUAUUAUUCUGAUCAGACUAGUAAUAUUUAUUUGAAUAGACUCUCAGGGCUUUAACUGGACCACCACCAAUAAGUUCUUGGCUUUGUAUAUAUUCUUUUUAGCGUAGAUCACGUAAAAAUUACAGCGUUUUGUCUGGUACAUUACUUUGAGAAUUGGCUGUUAAAAACAGGAUGUGACAUGGUCUAAAUUUUUAUUUUCUCUUGCAGUAUGCACAUAGCAUUUAGCUAGAUCUUUAACAUGAAAUGAAAACAAAAACAAAAACAAGUUACUCUUCACCUAAAUAAAACAUACAUAAAAGCAUUUAAUCAAUAUUAAAAAGGAUGUGGAUCUUCCUUUCCCUUCAUAUUUAGUUUUACAUAGGAUACAUGUCAAAAGAAUACUGGAAUUUAUUCAAACACAAAAUGGUUUCUCCUUCAUUUUUUUCUUUUCAGAACCCUGGAGUGCAUGUCAUCAGGCCAUGUAGACUUGUACACAUUCCACCAUUCAUGAGGUGGUCUUGAACUUACUCUUUGCUUGCAGUAUGAAGGAUUUUGCUCCCCCACUCAUAACCUAGAGGUUCGAGGACAAAAGAGAUGUAAGUCACCUGACUGCCACUGAAGACUGGGGCAAAGAACUGUUUUUAGUACCCUAGCCACCUCUGUGUCCAUUUCUCACUUCUCAUUUAUCAGAGAGGUAUAUUCUCUUUGUCCUUUCUCUUUUGAGGAACAUACCUGUAGAAUCCCUUGUUAAUUUUCAUAUCCCUUGCCAAGUUCAUUUCUAUCUGUGCCUUUGCUUUCUUCUUGUCAUCUCUGCAUGUCCAGACAGCAUCUCUUUAUUCUUUCCAGGCCAUGUAACCCUGCUUCCACUGCCUGUACAUGUUCUUCUUUUUCCUCAAUUUGAUCAGCACAUCCUUGCUUAGCCAUGCUGUUUUCUUGCCUCUUCUUCUUGUUAUCUUAUGUUGGGGGAUGGAGAGUUGUUUUGCUUUCAGAAAGGUAUCCUUAAAGAGUUUCCAGUUCUGUUCUGUUCCCAUGUCCAUAAGAACCGAUUCCCAGAGGAUCUGAUCCAAUAAUUCCUUAAACAACAAGAAAUUAAUUAUCUCAAAAUCCUGAGUGUGACACCGUUUACACAGACAUUCAUUCAAUGGGUCUGUUCUUCUUAUACCUAGAUCCCACUCACCAACCAGGAAGAUCAAAGAGAAUACAACCUGUAUUCCUGAUCCCUUCAACAUCUUCCCAAGGAAUAUAAAGACUCUUCUAAUAUUCUUCAAUAUCUUUGUUGAAGUCUUCUAUGACUCAACUUGAAAGAAGAGGAGUGGAGGGUAGUCCUUGGGUUUUAUAACUGAAAACAAAUAGAUAAAUAAUUAAGAAAGAAAGAAAUUAAAGAGCCAGUAGAUGGAUGAUUAAUCUGAUAGACGAUUAAUGAAAAAAACUAUCAUCUACCCUUUUUUUUACCCAAUACUCCAGUACUUGCAUGCAUUAUUUUAAUAUUAUUUUUUACACACAAAUCUGGGGUAAUGAAGAGAUAUAUGUUGAAAUCCAUUUGACACUUUUAAUGCACCUGAAGAGCAGUUUGUUUACAGUGGGGAGAAAUAAGCUGAUAUAUCAGAACUAGUGUUUACUAGUUUGGUCAAGGUGAAACUAUUCAGAAGUAUAUGAGAAAAUAUUGCAGUGGUAAUGAAAGGAGAGACUGAAAGAUGGAUAAUGUAACAUAAACUUUAAUUCAAAAAUAUAACUCUGAAUUACUUUCAAGGUUUUGAAGCUGCAAAUCUAGGUUCUUAUUCUCAGUAUAUUUAGGAAGAUUUUAAUACAUUCAUCAUCUCAGAAGUGUACAACAGCUACAGACUGUUGGAUUCUCAUGUCCAGAAUUUUCUCAGUGUUAAUAGGUUGGUGCCCUUGCCUAGUCAGCUGUGCUGCACUUAUAUGUGUAUGUGCACAUCUAUGUUUAACUUUUCUGUACGUGGUUUGGUUAAAAAAUAACUGCAGCAGAAUGACUGAAAAAAGCAUUUAAAUUUACAAGUCCAAACAAAAGAAUAAAAGAUGGAUAUUAACUGCUACAGGAAUGAUAUAUGCAUUCUUACAAAACUGUACUUUAUUACUGAUAUGGCUUUGCAUAGGGCAUUAAAUAGAACUUUAUAGAAAUGAGAAAUGCAAGUACUUAAAAAGUAAAUUAAAAAACCUAAAGAGAUUUCUGAUUCAUCACACUAUGUCCUGUUGUGUUUUUUCACUGUUGAUAAGCAAGCUGAUAACACAUUUUCUUUUCUGUUUUUGUGUUUUUUUUUUAUUUUACCCAUGUCAAAUAAAAAUAAAAUGGUUCUUCAGAUUUUCGAAAAAAAAAUACUGUAAUUACAGCAGAGGAAAACAUCAUGUUCUUUCAGCUUUCAAUAUUUUUUGAAAUGAUUAUCAUUCCAAAAUGUUGUUUUUUUAUGUGUUUAAUAUUUAUUUUCUGUAACAAAGGGCAUACUUUAUCAGGGACUAAUGGAAAUGACACUAAAGAUUAUAAAAAGAAAAUCAGAUUAUUUUCUCAGUGUCUGCAUGUUGUAUUGGAAGUAUUAAUCAUUGAGCAAUACAGAAAAUUUAGCAAAAUUUCUGGCAUGAAAGGCUACAAAUGGCAAUUACCACUGAUAAUCUCUAUAAAGCUUUAUUACCAGUAUAUAUAUGUGAGCAUACAAAAAGAUCACAAGAAGGAAGCUCAAUGCACAGCAGAGAGAGAAGACCAGAUGUCAGUUUUAAUCACAUUAAAACUUAUGCAGCCUUCAGAAAUGGUAGUAAUCUCAAUUUCCCUUCUUGCAAAAAGUUCCACUGGAUAGCAUUUUUAUGAGAGUUACUUUCAAUUAUAGCUUUAGAUAGAAAUUCUGGGUGUUAUAAUUUGCCUUUUUGACACAUCUGCUCAAUUAUGAGUUCUUUGUUUGUACUUGAUCUCUGCUCUCUAGGUAAUAGUUUGUUCUGGUAAAUCCUACUGAUAAUACAUGAACAACAAAUUAAGUCCUGGAUGUAGUAAGUACUACCUUUUUUUUUUUUUUUCUUCCUUUUUUUUCUUUCUUAAUCAAUAGAUUCUUACAUAAAUAUUAUGGUUUUAUGAAUUUGGUUAUUGGUACUCCACAUCAUAACAUCAUGUAGUGCACUAGGAGUUAAUUCCUUGUUUAAAAAGAAAAUAAACAACAAGAAUUCUAAAAGAUUUUAAAGUUAUUUUUGUUUUAAUUAUUAUUUUUAUUUUAAUAAAACUGUAGUAAAAUCUUUCCCAACCCAGUGUUUCACAGUAUAGUUACCUCUUACUACAUGGAGCGUCACAAUUCUUUGGCCUUUUGGUAGUCACUUGAUCACAGACUUAAGUUAAAUGCUUAUGUAUCAUUCCUGAAUUUGCCUUCAUGUUAUUGUAAAAUACAUACAUAUUUGUCUUACAGUAUGUACAAUUAUAGUGGGUUUUGCUCUAUUUUAGUAUGCUUCUGUUGGGCUCAAGGCAAGCCAAUAUUGUGCCCCGAUUAUUGCAUUCCUAAUUUAAAAUGCUAUGGGCCUCUACUUUCACUAAAGUACACUCUUAAAAAGUAGUAAUGUUUCUUACAGAAUGAUACCUGUUAUAAAUAUAGUAACUAAGCAUUAACUUGGUCUUGAAAAUGUGAGACAUACCAAAAAUAAAUUGCAAUAAAUUUGAAUCAUUUUUAAGAGCUGCCAAAAAGCAUAAAUGUCACAACAUCAUUUUCCCAUUAUAGUAAUUGAAUUUCUUACUUCAAGUGUCUUUGUAAUUGCACAGUUUUAAAUCACUGUGUUAAAAGCAAAAUCUUGGUUAGCAGGAAAUGGUUUUCUCAUGGAUCAUUGGAGGGAUCGAGACCCACCAGCUUGGAAAAGGGAGAUAAAAUGGGACAAUCAAACGUUAGCAGAAGCUGGUCGCAUUGAGCCUUUAGUUUGAUCACCACUAUCUGUUCUACAUUCUUAUUAAGUGUUUCUAACUGCCUUCUAUGAGAAUGCCCUCCCUGUUUCGUCCUCUGUGUGUGAAAUUCAUGUUGAACCAGCCAUUAAGAGAAGAGGUCUGAGUGCCAGCUAUUGGGUAGUGUCAUGCUCUAUGGUUGUGUUUGUGUGAAACUUCUGGAGAACUUAAAGCCAAUAACCUUCAUGUAUUUGGUCUAACUAUAACACAAGGGAAGGUGAAAUAUAAUGUAGCGAACAAAAACUUAAGUACGAUUCAGUACAAUAUAUAUAUAUAUAUUUUUUUUUUCCAUUUCCUUGUGGUAACUUCUACAGGGAAAAAAUACUUUCUUGAUAAAUUCUGAACAUUUCCUACUCUAUGAAAUAAAUAUCUUUGAAAGUUUGAAAUUUCUAGUGACUGUCUAAAAAAGGCGUAUUUUGAUUCUUUCUGUAAAUAAACAAUGAGUGAAGUGCAUACUACCAUACUGAGAUUAAUGACAAUUCCUAUCAACUUCCUUUGCAUUAGAAUAUUCCUUCAAACAUUUGUACAAAAGUCUGGUCUAGGCAUUAAGAAAACAUAUGUGAAAAGAAUGUGUUUCUUCAAGUUCAACUAAUUAUGUCAAAUCUACAUUUAUACUAUAGAUUUGGAGAGUAGUGUAUAUAUAUUAUAAAUUCUACAUAUGUGUUGCAUUAAUGCACAAUCCUAAAAAAAAAUGUUGAAUUAUCUAUUUUUGUACAAAUAUAGUAUGGUCAGAAAAUUCUGUUUGCAAUAAUCACAUUGGCAUUGAGAACUGAAUAAAAUACAUAUUUAUAGGUAGAUUAAAAGAAAACUAUCUUCUCCAACCAAAAGUAAAUUUUACCACUAAUGAUAUAACAAAAACACACUUUUUUUUUUUUUUUUUUUUUUAAGAGAAAAAUAUUUUAAAAAUGCUGGUAGUUACAGCUAUGAAACUGCUAUAUACUACAUGAAAUCAUAGUUAGAGCCAGAUGACUAUAAAGCCUACACACCAUUUAACUACAAGUGUUUAGGAAAAAAGGUGGUUUCAGUUAGUUCAUUAGAUACAACAGUGCAGUUCUUUUCCAAUAGGCAGACCAAAAGAUUAUUAUUCACUACUAAAAUAAUGUUUAUCAAAAAAUGUUAAUGUUUCACAUAGUUUUUUUUUUUUUUUAAUAAUAUCAGUCUCUUUUUAAAUAUUGAGGACAAAUUGUUUUCUUGAUAGAAAGCUAAAUGCUUUAGAUCUCUUUCUAUGAGGGCUUAUCUGAAAAUAAUGUUUCCUAUGUUAUUAGGUUGGCUCACAGAGUCAGAGGCAAAUGCUUAUGGUAUAAAGAAUGUUGAACCUUCCUGCCAAUAUUCCAUUAAAUUUGCUUGCCCUGCAACAGAUAGCAGCAGAGGCGCAGUCUAACAAAAUGGCAUCUAACAUGGAAGUGCAUAUAAAGCAAUAGGUAUGCAAUUGAAUUCCUUCGUGUAGAAAAAAAAUGUCAACCAUUCACAUUCAUUGGCACUUACUGAACAUUUAUGGAGGCCAAACAGUGGAUGUAAGCAUAAUUGAGGUGGUGGGUGUUUCCACACUGAUGACAGUGAUAUGAAGACAAGGCACAUUCUGGACCGCCAUGCAGAUUUUUGUACGUGCUGCAUGCUGGCUCUUUUUCAUCGCUGGUGAAAAUUCAUAGCUAAUGGUGGUGGCUAUGUUGAAAAAUAGUGUUUUAUAGCCAAGAGGUUUGUCUAUCAAAUAGUGUUCUUGCACUCUUUGUAUCUGUUACAGUUUCCAUGGUAAUAAAUAGGAGGCAUUACUUACAGAACAACCUAGGUAAGAUGGAAAAAAAAAAGAUAUGUUGGCAUUCACAUUAACUGUAUCCUGUCAUAUGUGGUCAUUAAAAUUAAUUUUUAUGUUUUCAAAAGUUAAUAUGAAUAGAAUGUAUUGCUGUUGAUUUCUUAACUACUAAUGGUCUUAUUCCAAAGGGAUAUUUCAAUUACUUUCUUCCUUUGUAUUUUUUCCUAAAUAUAAUAGGAGUUCACAUUUGUUUCUCUGAGUGUAUAAUCAAAUCAAACGUUUAGAAAUAUGGCUGACUCAGGACUUUAAUAUAUUACAGCUCAAAUAAAUAACACAUGUACAGUUUUGUGUAAUUUUAAAAGCUGUGUGAAGAUGAGUGUGUUUUCAUUUGUCUGCUCCAGCAACAAAAUUCCUACAGAAUACAAUUUCAUCUCUGGCAGUAAAACAUGUAUUUUCAAAUGAAAGGACUCUUAGAUGUAUGUAAAGAACAAAUAGUCAAUUUGUUUCAAUCAACACCUCUUUGAAUAAAUAAAAUACAAAAAUUACUCAUAAUGUUGGUAAAGGAUUUGUAUAUUAAUUUUGUGUAUAUGUAUAUGUUCUUUGUGUUGGUAUGUAUGUUCAUGAAAACAUCUAUAUAUUUCCAGUACUUUUGAUUAAAUGACAUAGAUGAAAGCUAAAAAAGUCAAAGAAAUCCUGCUAGAAUGUUCUAAAAUAACUAGCUAACUAACUAACUAAAUAAAUAAAUAAGAGGAAAAAAAGUGAGAAAAGAAGAAGAAAUUAGAAUGAAAAAGAAAAACAAGCAAACAAACAGAAAUCUCACAACUGAAUGAUCUAUUUAUACUUGGCAUUCAAGUAAAUUACUAGUAGACUUUGCCUGAGGGUUUUCAGUUUUCCACAUUAACCUAUACAUUCAGUUGUUUGUGACUGAUACUUACUUAUUCUUCUAGAAGUCAGUGCUGCUCACGUAUUACAGUCUGAUAUUUUCUUCACAAUAUAUCUUUAGCCUUUUAUAUAUUAAAGCAUAUAUUUCAUGAAAAAAAAUAUUUAACUUUAUAAAAAAGAACGAAUGUAACAAAAUGACAGCUGUCUACCUACA